AGAGUUUGAUCAUGGCUCAGAGCGAACGUUAGCGGCGGGCUUAACACAUGCAAGUCGAGCGAGAAAGUGGCUUCGGCCAUCAGUAAAGCGGCGGACGGGUGAGUAACACGUAGGUAAUCUUCCCUUGAGCGGGGGACAACGAGCCGAAAGGCUCGCUAAUACCGCAUAAGUUUCUCGGGACUCCGGUCCUGAGAAGGAAAGCUAGGCAGCAAUGUCCGGCACUCGAGGCGGAGCCUGCGUCGCAUCAGCUAGUUGGUGGGGUAACGGCCUACCAAGGCGAAGACGCGUAGCUGGUCUGAGAGGAUGAUCAGCCACACUGGGACUGAGACACGGCCCAGACUCCUACGGGAGGCAGCAGUGGGGAAUAUUGGACAAUGGGCGCAAGCCUGAUCCAGCCACGCCGCGUGAGUGAUGAAGGCCUUCGGGUCGUAAAGCUCUGUGGGGAGGGACGAACCGCCGGUGGUGCAUAGCCAACGGCAUGACGGUACCUCCUUAGCAAGCACCGGCUAACUUCGUGCCAGCCGCCGCGGUAAUUC
This 536-nucleotide ribosomal RNA is filed under the name uncultured bacterium. RNAcentral describes it as "bacterial SSU rRNA". It matches the Rfam family "Bacterial small subunit ribosomal RNA", at positions 8 to 526 of the family's 1533-position model. The record is from RNAcentral.